GCCCGGAAUGGGCCCUCGGGGGCCGGCCCUUCGCGCUUUCCCUUCCUGUGGCCAAAAGGUGGGCUGCGCGCCCGACAGAGAUGAUAGUUAUUUUAAAAUUCUUUCUUUCAGUCAAGAUGAGUGAUAAGCCAGAUUUGUCUGAAGUGGAGAAGUUUGACAGGUCAAAACUGAAGAAAACUAAUACUAAAGAAAAAAAUACUCUUCCCUCAAAGGAAAAGAGCUGUAUAAAUUUUAUGGUUUGGACCUUCUCUACCUGAUGGCAAAAUGAGGUGGGAGAACCAGUUUGGCUCUUGGGUAUACUCAGGUCUCCCAGGGAUCAAGAGAUCGGUUUUGCCCUCCUGACUUACAGUCUGCUGCAGAAACUCCAAACCAAGGGGCACAUUUUUUCAUGUCACCAUUAUUUGAAAGUUCCAAAGUUAGAAUUGUCUGAAAUGUUAUAUCUUUCUAAUUGUAUAGGGAUAGAUAAAUCUGAAGAAAAAUGCUUCAGUUCCUCUUCAUUCUUAAAAUAAUAUAUGGUAAAAAAUGGCAACAGCAUAGAUCUACCUCUUAAAUGGGGGGAAAAAAACCCUGCAGUUGAUGUAGAUUCUAAUGUAGAUUCAGGUGGUUUACACACACACACACACACACACACACACACACACACACCUGUAAGCAGGCAUGGCAACUUUCAGUGAGUUAGAAAUGUGCUUUUGGGGAAGAAAUUGAACUUAAUCUUAGAAAAAUACCUUCUUAACAAUUUUUUUAUGUUUGUUUUUUUCCCCCCAGCUAUCCNNNNNNNNNNNNNNNNNNAACAAACUUCAUAAAAUGGGAAUCUUCUCCCAAGAGCAGUUUUCAACAAUGCCUGAGUGUCUCGGUUUGGGGCUUGUUUUUUUGUAAACCUAUGUGCUUGUAGAGAUUUUAGGCACUGUCUAAUGCUUCACACCCAUACUCCCUGGCUGAGGUCAGGAGUAGCCAAUGUUCCCUUAUGUUCAUUUUUAAACUUUCCAUUGGUGCAUAAACUCCAGCUGGCAAGGGUUGUCCACAGUCCCACCAUUGAUGACCUUUGUGUGUGAAGUCCUUCCACCCCCCUACAGGGUCGGCUACUUUUCACCCUCUACAAUGGAUGUCUCCAUUGCUCCAUAAUCUUCAUAAAGUGGCAUGGGUUUGCAGCUUCUCACAGUUUGUUUUCAUUUCUAAUGUAGCAAUAAAAUAAUAAGUAAAAUCA
Molecule: long non-coding RNA, 1204 nt
Filed under: Ursus maritimus (polar bear)
Lineage: Eukaryota; Metazoa; Chordata; Mammalia; Carnivora; Ursidae
Description: lncRNA (ENSUMAG00000001867.1)
Source: RNAcentral